This 468-nucleotide ribosomal RNA is filed under the name uncultured bacterium. Its description in RNAcentral is "partial 16S ribosomal RNA". It matches the Rfam family "Bacterial small subunit ribosomal RNA", at positions 28 to 507 of the family's 1533-position model. The record is from RNAcentral.
GAUGAACGCUGGCGGCGUGCUUAAUACAUGCAAGUCGAACGGAAAGACCCUGCUUUUGCGGGGUGCACGAGAGGCGAACGGGGGAGAAAAACGCGAGUAAAACGCACUUGUAUUAGGGAUAAAAUCAGGGAAAAGGGGCUCAAACAGGAUAGGAGAUACUGAUGCGCGGGGGGGGAUGGAAAGUGUCGGCGGUUGGGGAUGGACUAGCGGCUUCUCAGCUGGUUGGUGGGGUAGUGGCGUACCACGCCUAUGACGGGUAGGCGGCCUGAGAGGGUGACCGGCCACCUGGGGACUGAGGUACGGCCCAGUCGCCUACGGGAGGCAGCAGUGGGGAACAUUGCGCAAUGGGCGGAAGCCUGAUGCAGCAACGCCGCGUGCGUGAUGCCGUCCUUCGAGUUGUAAACCGCUUUCGCCUUUGACGAAGCGUGAGUGACGGUAAUUGGUAAAGAAGCACCGGCUAACUACGUG